CGCCAUAGUACUGACACACCACAAAUUAUUGCAACCACACGGACAUGAAGCAAUCCGUUUUUCUCGUUAACAUAUUAGUGUGUGCUGUUAUUUGACUUGUGCGUGUUGGCUUUACGUUGUUGCUAGACGGCCAGCAAUCAACUACGCAAAACGUGACACACGAGCUUUACAAACUGCAGACAGAGGGUUCGAUACUGAAAAUCAUGAUGACAACUUUACAGGAGACAUGCCCCUUAUGCGCAGUGUGCAAGCAGCAACCAAUUCCAGCGUUUAUGGCAACUUUGACCGCUAGAAGUUUACUAUGUGCUGAAAAUGCCCCUCUCAUUUUCGAUAGAGAACGUCUAGACACUCGCAACGAUUAUGAUGUCCGCCAUGGGGUCUUUCGUGCACCCGUCUCGGCUGUUUUCGGAGAAAACCCGAGGUAUUGUCACAGCCAGCUCGUCGUGUCCGCCGUCCGUGUCAAGAAUAGGAACGUACAUGUUUUUCGCAACACCCACCGCUCAAGCUGGAGAUGCCUUUCAUACAACAAUUUUGAAUAAUUUGCUGACAGAGGAAAUUGGUCUCCUAUUUGGCAACAAUGGACAAACGGAAUGGAGUAACGAUUCGACCACAAUUGUUGUCCAGCUUGUUGCUGGAGAUGACGUUUGGUUGGCAUGUAACAUGCCAAGCACAAUCACUGGUUGAAACACUGGAGGAUAUAAUGAUUUAUAUUCACAUUUCUUUGGGGCUUUGAUCGCAGCACUAUAACAAACCAGAAAACAAUUGUGCCGUAAAUAACUCUUUGUUUAUUUAUGUACAAAAAACAUAUGUUACUUCAUUUAAUUUAGAAAUAUAUAUUAAUAGCAUUUAAACAUACUAUUCUAAAUACACCUCAAAUGAUACGUGACAAUCAUUGAGUAUAAAUAGCCAAAACAUUAUGGUUUACUUCUAAAAAGCCUGGACUUCAAUAAGUCAGUAUAACAUUAUGUGUUCUAUUCUCUCAUAUGGAACUUUGUAUGUACCCUACCACUUAUAGCGGGGGACAUAUUGUUUUUGCCCUGUGUGUUGGUUGGUUGGUUUGUGGGUUUGUGUGUUUGUUUGCUCCAACUUUAACAUUUGCCAUAACUUUUGCAAUAUUGAAGAUAGCAACUUGAUAUUUGGCAUGCAUGUGUAUCUCAUGGAGCUGCACAUUUUGAGUGGUAAAAGGUCAAGGUCAACGUCAUUCUUCAAGGUCACAGGUAAAAAAAUAAGAAAUAAAGCAUGCAUGUGUAUCUCAUGGAGCUGCACAUUUUGAGCGGUGAAAGGUGAAGGUCAAGGUCAUCCUUCAAGGUCAAAGGUAAACAAAAAUCAAAGCGGCGCAAAAGGGGACAUAAUGUUUCUGACAAACACAUUUCUUGUUAUGUUUAAAUUCAUGGAUGCGUUCACGACCUGGACAAGAUGGGUAUGAUCGCGAGGUGUAUGUGAAGCAAUAGAAAAAAAUGACUUAUUUGCAAUUAAAUAUGGAUUUGGUUGUUAUAGUAUAGUAUUGCCCAAAUUUAGUGCAUCAGUUUUAAAUAUUUCAAGAACAAGGGUUGAAGUAAGCAAAGCCCUGAACUGCAUCUAUCAGUAAAACAACGGUAGGAAUUUGUUUAGUAUGUUAUUUCUUUAUGUUAUAGAAUAUUUUAAAAUAUUCAAAAUUUUAAGUUCGCUAUUAAAUUAAUUUAUUGAUAUUUUAGAUAUGAAAAUAUGUAAACAAGUCCUUAAUUAUAAACGUAUAAGAAAUAUGAAAAAAGUUGUCAUUGAACAGAUAAAAAUCGUACUAUUAUACAUGUCUCCAGAAAAGAUCGAAUAAAAUAAGAGCGAUGUAAACACCCACACUAUUAUAAUGUUUUUCGUAUGGCAUUUCUA
Molecule: RNA transcript, 1866 nt
Organism: Dreissena polymorpha
Lineage: Eukaryota; Metazoa; Mollusca; Bivalvia; Myida; Dreissenidae
Gene name: caprin-2-like
Exons: 4
Source: RefSeq, a predicted model, not a curated record